RNAcentral lists this microRNA precursor (206 nucleotides) under Oryza brachyantha (malo sina). RNAcentral's name for it is "MIR812 microRNA precursor family". It matches the Rfam family "MIR812 microRNA precursor family". Lineage: Eukaryota; Viridiplantae; Streptophyta; Magnoliopsida; Poales; Poaceae. The record is from Rfam by way of RNAcentral.
AAUAAACCAAUUUUUCAUUUUUUACCUUUAAUUUUUGACUCUUCGUCUUAUUUAAAAAAUUUUGCGAUUGAUAUUUUUUGUUUUUAUUAUAUGAUAAAUCAUAAAUAGUACUUGACGUGUGACUAAUUUUUUCUAAUUUUCUAAAAUUUUUUCAAAUAAGACGGAUGGUCAAAAGUUGGACACGGAAACCGGAGAAUUCGUUUUUU